RNAcentral lists this ribosomal RNA (324 nucleotides) under uncultured eukaryote. Its description in RNAcentral is "partial 18S ribosomal RNA". It matches the Rfam family "Eukaryotic small subunit ribosomal RNA", at positions 1470 to 1796 of the family's 1831-position model. The record is from RNAcentral.
CCCUUAGAUGUCCUGGGCUGCACGCGCGCUACACUGAUGUGUCCAGUAAGCACCUAACCUCUUCCGAAAGGAACGGGUAACCUUUGCAAAGCACAUCGUGAUGGGGAUAGAUUAUUGCAAUUAUUAGUCUUGAACGAGGAAUUCCUAGUAAGCACAAGUCAUCAGCUUGUGUUGAUUACGUCCCUGCCCUUUGUACACACCGCCCGUCGCUCCUACCGAUUGAGCGAUCCGGUGAAUGUUUUGGACUGGCGUCAGAAGCGGUUCGCUCCUGACACUACGAAAUUUUGUAAACCUUAUCGCUUAGAGGAAGGAAAAGUCGUAACA